This 216-nucleotide ribosomal RNA is filed under the name Triticum aestivum (bread wheat). Its description in RNAcentral is "partial small subunit ribosomal RNA". Lineage: Eukaryota; Viridiplantae; Streptophyta; Magnoliopsida; Poales; Poaceae. The record is from RNAcentral.
AUGUGUGUCCCGAAAAGCCAAGGUGGAAUGGGUUUUCGUGACAUUCAUUGUUUUAAUUUGGUGAUGUUGGCUAAACAAGCUUGGCGUCUCCUUGAGAACCCAGAUUCCUUGUGUGCCACCAUUUUGCGAGCUAAGUAUUUUCCUGAUGGAGAUUUAUUGAAUGCAAAGUUAAAAAAGGGAUCAUCCUUCACAUGGCAAAGUAUUAUGGCGGGGGUU